ACAUAAGAGACAGAGCAAGUAAAAUAUUACGCUACAGUGCUACUGGCCCAUAAUCAGGCAACUGCAGAGUCUUAGGGGGUUAUCUAAUGUAGUCUUGGGGUGGCUGGAUAGACUUCCCAAAGAAGGUGAUGCCGAAGCUGAGGUCGGAAAUUACGAAGAUCAGCUAUGGCGUCUCAGGGUCUUGACCACCUCAAGCCAGGUGAGACACCUUACAGGAUGUCUCCUAAGCUGAUCAGUCUAUGAACAUUUAGUGACCUACAGAAUCUCCCUGUGACAUCUGUUCACUGGGCAACAGCAGCUCACAGACACCCACUGAGAAGGCUCUUCCGGCUUGGCAGUCCCAGGGGUAGGUGGUAAUCUCCUCCCCGAAUUUCCCAACAAGAAGAAAUUAACCAGUAGAAAAAAAGCUUGUACAAAGAAACAUCUACUUGUUUCCAAAGUUAUUUGGGUCAGCAUUUUCCUCCACCCACCACUUAAAACUGAUUUGUUUCAUACAUUUGAAAUGUAUGAAAAGCCAGAAAUCCAGGACCCACCCUGGCCUGCUCCCUUUUUCUCACCUACUGUGUUAAGGAUAAGUCAAUUGAGCUUCACUUCUCUAAUUGAAAUCACCGUGCUGAUGGAGUCUGUCUGUGGAAAUGAAAGGUGGCUACCAUAAUCUGUUGGGAGUUGAAUUAAUCCUCUGGGAGUGAGGCUGACCUAAUUACUCAGAAAUACUGGGCUUGCUUUCAUUCUGUGGAAUACAGCCAUGAGAAAGAGGCCAGCAUGCCAUUUCCUAAUCUUUUCUUGAAUUGCCUGAAACUCACCUAACAUGAAACUGAGAAGCCUUUUCAUUUGAAAGUGGUAUUUCUUAUGUUUUUUAUCUUUUUGCUUGAAAGUAUUCUUAAACUAAAGAAAGGAGAAACAGAAAAGGUGAAGAAGCCAAGAGGCUGGAGUUUCCUUUUGAAUGGAUAUUCAUCCAUGAAGCUGUUGAUUCUGUUUUUCUGUUCCUCCAGAUGUCUACACUUUUACCUCUGCUUGCCUGAUACAACCACCACCAGUCACCUCACAGAAUAACUCACUCCUUAAGAAUCUGAUCAGGAAUCAGCCUUCCCUGAUCACAAACACUGAGUUUAGAAGUCCCUCCACAGUGUCCCCCGUAACCCUGUGCUACCUCACUGCCUCAUAGUUUAGUGCCGUUUGUGUACAUGCCUAUCUUCGUCCAUGGAUCCAGAACAACUUGUAAAAAUGACUGUACUUAUCACCUUCAGUAUUCAAUGACUAAACUAUAAUUUUAACAUAUCUGGCAGAAUGAAUCACUUGGGGAUUUCUGCCAACACUACCAAUAUAUUACUCCUAAUUUGUAAUUAUUACUUAGCAUGGAUUAUAGUACCGGCUGUUGGAGAGCCAAUGUGGCAGACCCUAAGUGGAAUAAAAUGUCAGUAGCAGUCUAGGAGCAUAUAUUUAUUGGAAUAGAUCAUUCAUUCAUUUGUUCAUUAACUAAUUUGUUCAUUAAAUAAACAUUUAUUAAGCAC
This is a long non-coding RNA of Homo sapiens (human), 1511 nucleotides long. Ensembl annotates it as CCDC26 long non-coding RNA. Its record names the gene CCDC26. NCBI's taxonomy places the organism in Eukaryota, Metazoa, Chordata, Mammalia, Primates, Hominidae. The record is from Ensembl.